RNAcentral lists this ribosomal RNA (484 nucleotides) under uncultured bacterium. RNAcentral describes it as "partial 16S ribosomal RNA". It matches the Rfam family "Bacterial small subunit ribosomal RNA", at positions 30 to 507 of the family's 1533-position model. The record is from RNAcentral.
AUUGAACGCUGGCGGCAGGCCUAACACAUGCAAGUCGAGCGGAUGAAGGGAGCUUGCUCCUGGAUUCAGCGGCGGACGGGUGAGUAAUGCCUAGGAAUCUGCCUGGUAGUGGGGGAUAACGUCCGGAAACGGGCGCUAAUACCGCAUACGUCCUGAGGGAGAGAGUGGGGGAUCUUCGGACCUCACGCUAUCAGAUGAGCCUAGGUCGGAUUAGCUAGUUGGUGGGGUAAAGGCCUACCAAGGCGACGAUCCGUAACUGGUCUGAGAGGAUGAUCAGUCACACUGGAACUGAGACACGGUCCAGACUCCUACGGGAGGCAGCAGUGGGGAAUAUUGGACAAUGGACGAAAGCCUGAUCCAGCCAUGCCGCGUGUGUGAAGAAGGUCUUCGGAUUGUAAAGCACUUUAAGUUGGGAGGAAGGGCAGUAAGUUAAUACCUUGCUGUUUCGACGUUACCAACAGAAUAAGCACCGGCUAACUUCGUG